Non-coding RNA from Plectropomus leopardus (leopard coralgrouper), 882 nucleotides. The record is from RefSeq and is a predicted model, not a curated record. NCBI's taxonomy places the organism in Eukaryota, Metazoa, Chordata, Actinopteri, Perciformes, Serranidae.
GGACGAGUCCAGUGUGACAAAGACGUCCUCAGAGAGGGACGGCUCAGACUUCAUGUGUCCAGACUCAGCAUUAAUGACUCGGGUCCGUACAGGUGUGAAGUGUACACCAAUUAUGGUUGGGGCAGUCGGGGAAUUUGGCUGAAUGUCUCUGCAGCGACGGAUCCUCCUGCAAACAGCCCACCACCACCAAGAUGGGAAAUGAUCGCUGUUAAACUUUGUCAGGCAGCCGGAGCAGGCAGUGUGCUGUUUGCUUUUUACUUAUUAUGUCACCCUCAACCUAAACAAGUCCCGUUAGUGCGACUUUCGUAUGAGGACACAAAAAUAUCAACAAAUAAUGAGCAACAAGUUUAAUGCUUCAAACACCACCAGUGAGGGGGGCGGCACGUGGCUUUGUGGUUAACACUGUUGCCUCACAGUAAGAGGGUCCUUGGUUCCUUGGAUCUUUGCAGAAAAAAGAUCUGUGGUGAACAACGUUAUCCUGCUGGAAGCAGCCAUCAGAGGACGGGUACACUGUGGACACGAAGAGAUGGACAUGUCCAACAACAUGUCAUACAACAAAACCCUUGUUGCUAAAAACCUCUUUUUCUGAGACAACGAUGUACAGGUAUAAUGUCGAGAGUAUAUUUGUGUAUUUUAAAUUCUAAAUUUUGACAUCAGAAAUAACUCGUCAGUGUAAAUAUUGCCUCUAUUGUUCCAGAUCUUUGAUGUCAAGCAUCAUAAAUUGAGAGAAAAUGACGUUAAUGUCACUUGUUGAGCUGAAAUGUAAACUGUGAGCGUCUUCUGUCCUCUGCUGAUGGACAUCCAUACAGUGCACUGUGUUUUCUACUGUAAUAUUUAUAAUGUUUUCAUAUGUUUCAUAAAUCUCUGUUUCUAUAAGAGGAG